Molecule: ribosomal RNA, 327 nt
Filed under: uncultured eukaryote
Lineage: Eukaryota
Description: partial 18S ribosomal RNA
Rfam family: Eukaryotic small subunit ribosomal RNA
Source: RNAcentral
CCCUUAGAUGUUCUGGGCCGCACGCGCGCUACACUGACGAAUGCAACGAGCUGAUAACCUUGGCCGAAAGGUCUGGGUAAUCUCCAAAUUUCGUCGUGAUGGGGAUAGAUUAUUGCAAUUAUUAAUCUUCAACGAGGAAUGCCUAGUAAGCGCAAGUCAUCAGCUUGCGUUGAUUACGUCCCUGCCCUUUGUACACACCGCCCGUCGCUCCUACCGAUUGAAUGGUCCGGUGAAGCGUUCGGACCGUGGCCUUUGGACGGUUCGCCGUCUGUUGGCUGCGGGAAGUUCGUUAAACCUUAUCAUUUAGAGGAAGGAGAAGUCGUAACA